UACGUAGGUGGCAAGCGUUGUCCGGAUUUACUGGGCGUAAAGAGCGCGCAGGCGGUCGUUCAAGUCGCGUGUGAAAGCCCCCGGCUCAACUGGGGAGGGUCAUUCGAUACUGAUCGACUCGAAGGCAGGAGAGGGUAGUGGAAUUCCCGGUGUAGUGGUGAAAUGCGUAGAUAUCGGGAGGAACACCAGUGGCGAAGGCGACUACCUGGCCUGUUCUUGACGCUGAGGCGCGAAAGCUAGGGGAGCAAACAGG
This 253-nucleotide ribosomal RNA is filed under the name uncultured bacterium. RNAcentral describes it as "partial 16S ribosomal RNA". It matches the Rfam family "Bacterial small subunit ribosomal RNA", at positions 524 to 776 of the family's 1533-position model. The record is from RNAcentral.